UUUUACGUCAUUCCAUUUUUUUUCACAACAUGAAGAUUUCUUUUGAAAAGUAGAAACCUUCCAGAUUCAGUGAUCAGAGCUUAAGGGAACACACUGGGAGAGAAAUAAGGGAUCAUAAGAGAAAAUAAUAAAGGAGUCAUCAAAUCUGUUGAACUCAAAGACACAGUCAUCGGGGAAGUGAAGACCAGAACCAAAGGAUAUUUGGAAAAGCAGAAAAUUAAAGAGAAGAGGAGACAGAGGAGAUCAAAGAAGGGAAGAGCUGAACAAACCAGAGGAGAAGCAGCUGAGAAGAAGCAGAAGUUGUUGGAACAGCAACAGAAAGAAUUACAGGAAUUAAUGGAAGCUCAGAAGGGGUCUCAUGAAGAAAACAUUGAGGAAUUGAGAAGGAAGAUGAGGGAAGAUUGGCAACAGAUCAUGAGAGAUCACGAAAGGAUUCUAAAUAUUAAUCUAAAGGAACAAAAGAAGAUGGUGGAGGAAGGAUUUCAGAAGGAAGCUGACCAGAUGGCCAAAGAGAUAAACGACCUAAAAGAAAAAAAUUAAAUCUGCUGAAAGAAAUAAAACCCCCUGGAUAGUCACAGCUCUAUAUAGUUUAGGCACUACAAUGAUGACUACUUUACCUGGUGCAGGAAAAGUGAUUGAUAUGGUAUGUAAGAAAAUGGGCCACUGUGUGGCAAAAAAAAUCCCAAUGAGACCUCCUUACAUGUAUGUGUGUGUAUUUGAGUUUCCUGCUUCUAAUUCUCCCAAAGCUGAUGCUACCAGAAAAAUUGCUAUAAAGAACAUUCAUCUAUCUAGUAUUAGUUAAAUGCAGCUUCAUUCUACUUCAUGAAUUAAGGUAAAGAGUCUGGGAGAAAGGAAACCCCCAUUCCUUUCCAUGACUUCAGAGUUAGACAAAGGCUGGAGAGUCAUGGAAUCUAACUGCCUCAUUUAAACAUGGUUCCUUGAUGCUAUGGGUAGGGCAGAAUUUGAAAUCAGGGAGAUCUGAGUUCAAAUCUCCCAUUAGACAUGUAGACAUUAUAGAGAAAGACACAGAAUUUCUCUGGGUUUCAGUUUCCUCACCCAUGCAAUGGGGGUGAUAUAAUAGCACCUACCUGACAGAUUUGUGACAGGGAUUAAAUGAGUAAAGCUCUUUGGAAACGUUAAAGUGCUAUAUAAAUGUGAGCUACUUAUAGUAAGAAACUACGAGGCCCAGACAUACACUGUAAUCUCCCCCCAAUCACACAUAAAAUAGGGCUUCAAUGGAGGCCUCUUUUUUCCAUUUGAAUUAGUUCAUUUACUCAAUUUAGAACAUUAAUUGGAGGCCUCUUGACUUUGAUAUGUUCUGACAACUAUGGAGAACAAGGUCCUUUACCCCUCUUCAGAGAUAACCACACUCAAAUUUAUCCCUGUGAUUCUUUAGACUCCAAGAAGUUCAAGUGAAAUGGUCCCUGAUUUCAGAACCCCCAAUUAAGCUCUCAAGUAUCAAGAUUGUGUGUGAUCAAUGAAAAAGGUAUUGAAGUUAUAGUCAGAAGACCUGAGCUCAAAUGCCAAUUCUAAUACUUAUUGUCUAUGUGACCUUGGAUAAAUCACUUAACCUUCCCCAGCCUCAGUUUCUGUCACUGUAAAAUGAGGAAGCUCAGCUAGAUGAUCUCUUGGGUCCUUUCCAGCUUUAAUCUUAUUUCUUUUGAGUGGGUAGUAGAUAGAGGUCCCAGAAUCCUCUUGCCCACUGUUGCCCAUGAGAUGGCCAACCAAGAGUUCCCUCAUCCUAUAAACUGACUUUGUAAACUCUACCCUUACAAUCUCCAAACAAAGAGAGCCAUCUGUUAACUACUUUUUAAGUGAGUAUAGCUAUAUGCUUUAUGCCAAGUCUGAAUAGAAUUUUUUCCCAACUUGUAAUUUAGGGAUCCCAAAUGUUCUUGGAUCAUGCUUAGUGUUUUAAUAAAUUUCCAUAGCAUCCCUGCAACAAAAGUUAUACCUAACAGUUCCAUUUAUUAAAUACCCUAACAAGUAUUUAUGUCCUAACAAUUUAGUGGCUAUUUGAAAAAAAUUAAUAUACAUAAAAGGAAAAGGGAAAAUAUAUUUUAUUUCAUUCUUAGUCACAAUUUCUAAUAUAUGUACGUGCUUCUGGGGCACAGUGAAACUUCUCAAACCUUAGAAUCUGAUUGGGCACGAUCCCCACCCAAACCCAUUUCCUGUCCGACACUGAUUUUUGCUCAGUACUUGCUUUUUCACUCAGCAACUGCCACAAACCCAGUUUCACAGAGAGACAAGAACUUACCAUCUUGGAAAAAAACACAAGUGAACAGACUAUUUUCUCACACAUUCCAAACUGUUAUCCAAAGGAACGUAGAGUGAUCUAAUGCUGAAUUUAUAAACUAUCUCUAGGCAGUAGUUUUCCUAUUGUCAGACAGCUGUUGGGUAACCCUGUGUUUCUUUCCCUUAAAAAUUAAAAUAUCACAGGAUGCCCCUUGAAUUCUCUAUGGCUCCAUGGAGAGCCCCAUCAUACAGUGUGAGAGUCACUUGCAAUUCAGCCUUCUCGGACCAAGAAGAGACAAUCUAAUGUCUUUUCCACCUGGCACCCCUCUGUAGCACCAGGGCCUCAAAAGUAAACUGGUAGAAAUCUCCAACCAUUUCAAUACUAAUUUCUUAAGGCUUCAUUUCACCUGGGCUUUUAUGGUCAUAAUCCACCUAAGGAACAAUGAUAAUUCCCAGACUUUUACUUUUGUCUGAGUGGAUUCAGGGACCUCUCUUACCAGAACUCACCUUCUGAUGAAUGACUUCAAUGUUACCUAUCUCUGAAGGGAAAACCUCUCCAUUCUAUCACCAUCCACCAGAAUCAGGAAAUAAAAUACUUUUCCUUGGGUGAAUUUCAAGGACAUUGCUUCAUAACGGGAAAGUGAAAAGAUGCUGGGGGCCAUCAGUCCAUGACACCUUGACAGAGUCACACGUGGUAGCUGGGGAGACCACAGAGUGGUCCUUGGCAAGAUGUGACUUCCCACUCUAACCCUCUUGAAGGACCUCUUUCAUCAAUGGCCCUUACCAAUUAAUUAACAUGAUUAUUAUUCCCCCUAGUCUCAAAAGAAAUAAUGUAAGAACAAAACACCUGUACCCUAAUUCUCUAAAACAUCACCAAAAAUCAGACCGUUAAACCCAAUCCCAAAAAGAUAAUCAUGGGUUAACUUUUACUUAGGUACAUAAUUCUCAGCAAAACUGCAGCUACAGGCCAAGCACAAACAAUUUCCCCACUCACAGAAACCUAUUCUCAUGAAGCCAGCACACAAAUCAAUCACAGAGGCCCAAGUGAUAAGUGCAAGUACAUCAAGCUUCAGUAUGACUCAAUGACUUGAUUAUACAAACAAGUAACUCAGAAACUCACUAGAAGCCACCAGUCUAAAUUUGAAUUAUGUUCCCAAUACUCCUCAACUCAAUGAUAUGAUUGUCAAAUUAUCUUUUAAGAAUUGUUGAUUAAUUAUUCCAUUUUAUUAAAACCAAUAAGUAAUUUUCCAUGAUUGUAAGCUCAAAACUUCUCACAGGGUAAUGAGAAAAUUAAGCCACCUGUGAUGAAAUCAUUUAUCUUGUAUGUAACCUUUAUUCUGUCUUUAAUCACAAUACAGAAAUAUAGAAUGUUAUUCAAGUGAUUUGUUAAAAGUUAAUGUAUCACUUUUCCAAUUAAUCUCUCUUUGAUUUUGUGUAUCUGCAUGUCAAGAAAAUAGGUAUAAAAAUAAAAACCAGACUUCGGGAUGGUGGAGCAGCUGUCAGAUGCAAAGCAAUCUCAUGGCUGUUAUGAUUAA
This is a long non-coding RNA of Monodelphis domestica (gray short-tailed opossum), 3767 nucleotides long. RefSeq lists it as uncharacterized. The record is from RefSeq and is a predicted model, not a curated record. Lineage: Eukaryota; Metazoa; Chordata; Mammalia; Didelphimorphia; Didelphidae.